Molecule: ribosomal RNA, 662 nt
Filed under: uncultured cyanobacterium
Lineage: Bacteria; Bacillati; Cyanobacteriota
Description: bacterial SSU rRNA
Rfam family: Bacterial small subunit ribosomal RNA
Source: RNAcentral
CGGACGGGAAGUAACGCGUAAGAAUCUACCUUCAGGUUGGGGACAACCACUGGAAACGGUGGCUAAUACCGAAUGUGCCGAGAGGUGAAAGGCUUGCUGCCUGUAGAUGAGCUUGCGUCCGAUUAGCUAGAUGGUGGGGUAACGGCCUACCAUGGCGACGAUCGGUAGCUGGUCUGAGAGGAUGACCAGUCACACUGGAACUGAGACACGGUCCAGACUCCUACGGGAGGCAGCAGUGGGGAAUUUUCCGCAAUGGGCGAAAGCCUGACGGAGCAAUACCGCGUGAGGGAGGAAGGCUCUUGGGUUGUAAACCUCUUUUCUCAGGGAAGAAGACAAUGACGGUACCUGAGGAAUAAGCAUCGGCUAACUCCGUGCCAGCAGCCGCGGUAAUACGGAGGAGGCAAGCGUUAUCCGGAAUUAUUGGGCGUAAAGCGUCCGUAGGUGGUUAAUCAAGUCAGCUGUUAAAGAGCGGAGCUUAACUCCGUUAGAGCGGUUGAAACUGAUUGACUAGAGUUUGGUAGGGGUCGAGGGAAUUCCCAGUGUAGCGGUGAAAUGCGUAGAUAUUGGGAAGAACACCGGUGGCGAAAGCGCUCGACUGGGCCUGAACUGACACUGAGGGACGAAAGCUAGGGGAGCGAAAGGGAUUAGAUACCCCUGUAGUC